UACGGAUGGUCUACACGAAGUCCCUCAGACCGAUCAGCCCUCCGCGAGAGUGCUAGCUCGUGUAGUCGGCUUCUGAUGACAGAUCUGACUUGAUCUCCUUCUUCGAUCACCUCAAACCUUUCUGAUGUCAAAGAUGGAUCAGAGAAGGAUGCUAGAUGAUAGAAAAAAUUUAGAUGAAGACUCUCGUCUCUUUGAUUUUUUUCUCACCCAAAAAUCUAGAACAAUUCUAGGUCUCUCACCCAAGAGGAGAACGGUCUCCUCUUUUGUUCACGCCA
This 275-nucleotide long non-coding RNA is filed under the name Elaeis guineensis (African oil palm). RNAcentral describes it as "long non-coding RNA (EGUI_LNC047797)". The record is from RNAcentral. Lineage: Eukaryota; Viridiplantae; Streptophyta; Magnoliopsida; Arecales; Arecaceae.